RNAcentral lists this ribosomal RNA (253 nucleotides) under uncultured bacterium. RNAcentral describes it as "partial 16S ribosomal RNA". It matches the Rfam family "Bacterial small subunit ribosomal RNA", at positions 524 to 776 of the family's 1533-position model. The record is from RNAcentral.
UACGGGGGGGGCAAGCGUUGUUCGGAAUUACUGGGCGUAAAGGGCUCGUAGGCGGCCAACUAAGUCAGACGUGAAAUCCCUCGGCUUAACCGGGGAACUGCGUCUGAUACUGGGUGGCUUGAAUCCGGGAGAGGGAUGCGGAAUUCCAGGUGUAGCGGUGAAAUGCGUAGAUAUCUGGAGGAACACCGGUGGCGAAGGCGGCUUCCUGGACCGGUUCUGACGCUCAAAAGCGAAAGCUAGGGUAGCAAACAGG